CCGCAAGCAGAGGAAGCAUUAGUUUUGUUUUUAUUUAUGUUCUGUAUUCCAGAAAGUAGUUAAGAGACCUCACAUGUAGCGAUAGAGAUGUGUGUAAGAGACAGUGAGAGGGCGUGACUUGGACUUAAGCAAGGACCGUGAGACACAAAAAGGGGGGUGAGGACAGAGUGGAGUCAGCUGAAAUGCUCAGGAGGAAGUAGACGCCAUGAAGGGCCAUGGUAUGGGGGGCCGCAGGCGUGGCCGUGAGUGUCCCUGGGGCCAGCUCUUGGGGGGCUCCCUGAGUGUCCCUGUCCCUGUGGCCAGUUCUGGGUGGGAGCCCCGUGUGCAGGCAGACAGCUCGGCCACUUCCUAGCAGGUCACAUUGGUCUGUGCUUCUGUUUCCUCCUCAGAUAAGUGAAGGGAUUCAAGGGUCUGGGUGUGGUGGCUAACACCUGUAAUCUAUAACAUUUUAGGAGGCUGAGGCAGGAGGCUUACCUGAGCUCAGGAGGUUGAGGCUGCAGUGAGCCAUGAUUGCACCACUGCACUCCAGCCUGGGCAACAGACCAGUACUCUGUCCCUUAAAAAAAAAUGUAAACAGAAACGUAGGGCCAUUUGCAUAUGAUGGCACAUGGCGUGGAGCCCUACAGGUGUAUGCUGGGCGGGGCCCGGCUGUGCUGGCCGACUUGCACCUUUCCCUCCACCCCGGUGCUGUGUCUUUCGCUCACCGGGUUCCUGAUUUAGUGAAAGCAGUUGUGCAGGACAGUUCUCUUUGUAGCUUUUGUUUCUGUGGAAAUGGGUCAGAAUAUGGUGUUUAGAAACACUUAUGAGCUCUGAGAGUUUCCUCUUCUGAGUUCCUGGCCUGCAGCCUUCACAGCAGAAACCCUGUGAUGUCACAAGCCUGUUUCUGUUCCCUGCUCUCUGCCUGUACUGUCCUGUUUUGUGCCUGCCGGUUUCAGUGACAGGAAGCAGGGAGCUACUGGACCAGCCUGUAUUUUUCUAGACAUAGUUGGAAAAAGAAGUCCCACUCUUCUGUCCUUUCACCUUUGACAGAUGUUUCCACCCCAAGAUAAGUGAAAAUGACCAAUAGGAUGCACUGUAUUUUUCAUGAAAGUGUUUCUGAAGGGCAGGCUGAGAGUGAGAGGCCUGGGGCUCACUGGGUGCCUCUGGCCUUGUCCUGGGCCCAGGGACACUGGUCUGUGCCCGAGGUAUUCCCUAUCCCCCCAACCCCGCUGCAUUUGGCCACAUCCUUCAAUGUUUGCGUUGUGUCCAGCGUCCGCAAACCAACUGUCAUGGGAUCAUACUGGGGCUGAAGUACGGUCCCACCCCUGCCCUGUCUGGGGCUGAAGUACAGUGCCACCCCUGCCCUGUCUGGGGCUGAAGGACAGUGCCACCCCUGCCCUGUCUGGGGCUGAAGUACAGUGCCACCCCUGCCCUGUCUGGGGCUGAAGGACAGUGCCACCCCUUCCCUGUCUGGGGCUGAAGGACAGUGCCACCCCUGCCCUGUCUGGGGCUGAAGGACAGUGCCACCCCUGCCCUGUCUGGGGCUGAA
This 1528-nucleotide long non-coding RNA is filed under the name Homo sapiens (human). Its description in RNAcentral is "HSALNT0068195". The record is from RNAcentral. Lineage: Eukaryota; Metazoa; Chordata; Mammalia; Primates; Hominidae.